This is a non-coding RNA of Bactrocera oleae (olive fruit fly), 415 nucleotides long. The record is from RefSeq and is a predicted model, not a curated record. NCBI's taxonomy places the organism in Eukaryota, Metazoa, Arthropoda, Insecta, Diptera, Tephritidae.
AGUCAUCGUCGCGUUUUCAACACAACUAGUACAUUCAACAGAAGGAAUUAUAUUUGAAAUCUAUAAAACAACAACAUUUGCUACAGUGGUGUGUGUACAGUUUUUUGUGUUCUUUUUGCAGAUGCUUUCAACUACUUUGACAAUCAAAUACUUAAUUUCUUGCAUGAGCCGCCAUCGCGCAUCGAAUUCGGCAACAAUGCCGGCAGCAUUGUCGAUUGCAUAGCGCACGGCAAUUCGUCGCCGAAUGUCGAAUGGCUAGACAAGGACAAUAAUCCCAUCAUCUCGAUAUCAAGGGUUCGUCAUGUAUUCGCCAACGGCACACUUUAUUUCUUUCGAGGCAGAAGAGUGCCUACAAGAUCGUCAGUAUGUCAGCAAUGUCAGCAAUGUUAUGAGUACAAUAAUUUCUCGUGAUCUC